RNAcentral lists this long non-coding RNA (422 nucleotides) under Helianthus annuus (common sunflower). RNAcentral's name for it is "hypothetical non coding rna". The stretch from base 169 to 257 matches the Rfam family "Small nucleolar RNA R11/Z151". Lineage: Eukaryota; Viridiplantae; Streptophyta; Magnoliopsida; Asterales; Asteraceae. The record is from RNAcentral.
AUUAGUGCAGUGAUGAAGCAUGUAUUGUGGACUAGAGUUUCUGAUAUUGGGCUCUUCUUCCCAUUUUAUUUUGACGACAAACCCUUGGCUGUCUGAGCACUGUACCUUUCAUCUUAUUCAUAAGUUUUCCACUGAUUUUUUAAUAUUCUUUUUAUAAAAUUAGGUUAAGAGCUAAUGAUGAGAAAUACAAUUAUCUUAGCGGAUUUCAGUGAGAUUACUUUUAAUCAAUGAUCUGAUUGUUACACACACUGAAGCUCUUCAAUCUCUUUUUUAUUUAUUUUUUUUGUAUGAGAUGGAAUGUAAAUAAUAAUAGCAGUGAUGAGGCAAAACACAUGAGGAUGUGUUAAGGGAAGUGGACAAGACGAUUAAAACCGUUUUGCCGUGAUCCCCAUUUUAAACGACUUCUCCUUCCACUGAGCUUU